CGGGAAUAAAUCAACUCCUCCAGCGGCGUGGAAUUUUUCCUCGAGAGGAGGCGGCGGCGCAACGAAGACGCGACGGCGGGGGCGGCGCGCGGCGCGCGGCGCGAUCCGGAGGCGACGGCGACGGCACGGCGCUCACCUCCGGCCGCCAUCUUCUCUCCGGCUUUGGGAGGAAGGAAGUCUGAGAGGAUGCUGGUUCAAAUACUGAGUGGCUGAGCAAACAUGUACAUGAUGCUGGUUUUGUAAAGGAGCAAUAAAUGUGGUUCUCUGAACAUUGUAUAUUGCUGAUGUAACCAUUUGGCAUAGGAGAGUACUGGUGUGGCAGCCCAUGUUUAUUUUUUAUAGCUUGAAAGGUCACAUAAAUGCAAAUUCUAAGUAGAAAUGUCAAGUGAAUCAUGCCAUAUUUCACUUUUUUUUUAGGCUUCAUCAAUGUGUAUUUGAUGCAUCAGUAGCAAAUGAUGCAUGACGUUCAUGGGCCCAUGCUUAAUUAUCUCCUGGCUAAUUAUCUCAAGUGAAUCAUGAUAUAGUUUCAUCUUUUUC
This is a long non-coding RNA of Oryza sativa Japonica Group (Japanese rice), 537 nucleotides long. RefSeq lists it as uncharacterized. The record is from RefSeq and is a predicted model, not a curated record. NCBI's taxonomy places the organism in Eukaryota, Viridiplantae, Streptophyta, Magnoliopsida, Poales, Poaceae.